GGGGGUUUAUCUCAGUGGUGGAGUGUGUGCUUGGUGUGCACGAGGUUCUGGGUUCAACUCCCAGUGCCUCUG
This 72-nucleotide transfer RNA is filed under the name Camelus dromedarius (Arabian camel). It matches the Rfam family "tRNA". From Rfam's summary of the family: Transfer RNA (tRNA) molecules are approximately 80 nucleotides in length. Their secondary structure includes four short double-helical elements and three loops (D, anti-codon, and T loops). Further hydrogen bonds mediate the characteristic L-shaped molecular structure. tRNAs have two regions of fundamental functional importance: the anti-codon, which is responsible for specific mRNA codon recognition, and the 3' end, to which the tRNAs corresponding amino acid is attached (by aminoacyl-tRNA synthetases). tRNAs cope with the degeneracy of the genetic code in two manners: having more than one tRNA (with a specific anti-codon) for a particular amino acid; and 'wobble' base-pairing, i.e. permitting non-standard base-pairing at the 3rd anti-codon position. RNAcentral also lists the same sequence under 1 other name. The record is from Rfam by way of RNAcentral. Lineage: Eukaryota; Metazoa; Chordata; Mammalia; Artiodactyla; Camelidae.